RNAcentral lists this ribosomal RNA (402 nucleotides) under bacterium. RNAcentral describes it as "partial 16S ribosomal RNA". It matches the Rfam family "Bacterial small subunit ribosomal RNA", at positions 355 to 776 of the family's 1533-position model. The record is from RNAcentral.
UGGGGAAUUUUGCACAAUGGGGGAAACCCUGAUGCAGCGACGCCGCGUGAUUUAGAAGGCCUUCGGGUUGUAAAAAUCUUUUUUACGGGAUGAAAAUGACAGUACCGUAAGAAUAAGGUCCGGCUAAAUACGUGCCAGCAGCCGCGGUAAUACGUAUGGACCGAGCGUUGUCCGGAAUCAUUGGGCGUAAAGGGUACGUAGGCGGCCUAGUAAGUUAGAAGUGAAAUAAUAUAGCUCAACUAUAUAAAGCUUCUAAAACUGCUAGGCUUGAGAGAUGGAAGGGAAAGUGGAAUUCCUAGUGUAGCGGUGAAAUGCGCAGAUAUUAGGAAGAAUACCGGUGGCGAAGGCGACUUUCUGGUCAUCAUCUGACGCUGAGGUACGAAAGCGUGGGUAGCAAACAGG